AGCGAACGCUGGCGGCAGGCCUAACACAUGCAAGUCGAACGAACCUUUCGGGGUUAGUGGCGGACGGGUGAGUAACACGUGGGAACGUGCCUUUAGGUUCGGAAUAACUCAGGGAAACUUGUGCUAAUACCGAAUGUGCCCUUCGGGGGAAAGAUUUAUCGCCUUUAGAGCGGCCCGCGUCUGAUUAGCUAGUUGGUUGAGGCAAUGGCUCACCAAGGCGACGAUCAGUAGCUGGUCUGAGAGGAUGAUCAGCCACAUUGGGACUGAGACACGGCCCAAACUCCUACGGGAGGAAGCAGUGGGGAAUCUUGCGCAAUGGGCGAAAGCCUGACGCAGCCAUGCCGCGUGAAUGAUGAAGGUCUUAGGAUUGUAAAAUUCUUUCACCGGGGACGAUAAUGACGGUACCCGGAGAAGAAGCCCCGGCUAACUUCGUG
This 434-nucleotide ribosomal RNA is filed under the name uncultured bacterium. RNAcentral describes it as "partial 16S ribosomal RNA". It matches the Rfam family "Bacterial small subunit ribosomal RNA", at positions 29 to 507 of the family's 1533-position model. The record is from RNAcentral.